This is a long non-coding RNA of Vicia villosa (hairy vetch), 808 nucleotides long. RefSeq lists it as uncharacterized. The record is from RefSeq and is a predicted model, not a curated record. The transcript is spliced from 3 exons. Lineage: Eukaryota; Viridiplantae; Streptophyta; Magnoliopsida; Fabales; Fabaceae.
GCCCAAUAAAUAUCUCAUUAACCUAACACAAGAAAACCCUAGCCGUCAGUCUUCUCCUCUUCCCAUCUUCGUCUCUAUCUCUCUGCUUUUCUCUCACGGUUACAAACCCUUAUGCAUUCUCCUUCCCCGAUCUCUCUCUGUUUCCUCUCACAGUCACAAACCCUAACUACUUCACUUCUGCUUCUAUUAUCUCUUUAUGAUUUCUCUUUCAACCACAAACCUUUUUUCAUAUGUAAUUUUUGAAACUUAAUAUCAUUAUAAUCUUCUUUUUAACUAACAAAUGUUUAUUUUGUAGUUUGCAGGUUUAUCUUUAUCAUUCGCUAUCAUCUUUUUUCCUGCAGUUGGAUGGAUUCAAGGCUACAUUAGAGAAAUUUUAUACGUUUUAUAUCAGUAAUCAAAAGGUAAACAAAAGAUUGGUGUAAGUUGUUGUGUUUGAAACAUGAUUACUAAACAUCCUUGCAGAUGCCUCCAUUGACAACAACAAUACUGCAAGGGAUAUGUGGCCUCUUUGGUAUAGUUAAAGCAAAAAUGUAUACCAUGAGUUUUCUUAUAGGGAACUUAUGAACAUGAGGAAACAGCGGACUUAUGAACUUGUGUAGAAGCCGGAAGGAAAUGCACUUAGGAAUGAAUAAGAUCAUUUAAAGAUCUUAGUAUUUGUGUUUCUGAUUUUUUAAUUUUUAAAGGACUUAAAAUGGACUGAAUUUUAUUGAUAUACUCUGUUAUAAUUUUUCAUUUAUCUUACUGAUUGUGAGGUAUCUCACUUUUUUAUGGAUUAAGUGAUUAAAGUCAUUUAUUGACAUUUACAUUA